This 498-nucleotide ribosomal RNA is filed under the name uncultured bacterium. RNAcentral's name for it is "partial 16S ribosomal RNA". It matches the Rfam family "Bacterial small subunit ribosomal RNA", at positions 28 to 507 of the family's 1533-position model. The record is from RNAcentral.
GACGAACGCUGGCGGCGUGCCUAAUACAUGCAAGUCGAGCGAACCAAUAAGAAGCUUGCUUUUUGUUGGUUAGCGGCGGACGGGUGAGUAACACGUGGGUAACCUGCCUGUAAGACCGGGAUAACUCCGGGAAACCGGUGCUAAUACCGGAUAGAUUAUCUUUCCGCAUGGAGAGAUAAGGAAAGAUGGCUAUUGCCAUCACUUACAGAUGGGCCCGCGGCGCAUUAGCUAGUUGGUGAGGUAACGGCUCAGCAAGGCGACGAUGCGUAGCCGACCUGAGGGGGUGAUCGGCCACACUGGGACUGAGACACGGCCCAGACUCCUACGGGAGGCAGCAGUAGGGAACCUUCCGCAAUGGACGAAAGUCUGACGGAGCAACGCCGCGUGAGCGAAGAAGGUCUUCGGAUCGUAAAGCUCUGUUGUUAGGGAAGAACAAGUAUCGGAGGAAAUGCCGGUACCUUGACGGUACCUGACGAGAAAGCCACGGCUAACUACGUG